Molecule: transfer RNA, 69 nt
Filed under: marine eukaryotic metagenome
Rfam family: tRNA
About the family: Transfer RNA (tRNA) molecules are approximately 80 nucleotides in length.
Source: RNAcentral
CGGUGUAGCUCAGUUGGCUAGAGCAGCUGAUUUGUAAUCAGCAGGCCACGGGUUCGAAUCCUGUCACCG